Molecule: ribosomal RNA, 407 nt
Filed under: uncultured Blastocladiomycota
Lineage: Eukaryota; Fungi; Blastocladiomycota
Description: partial small subunit ribosomal RNA
Rfam family: Eukaryotic small subunit ribosomal RNA
Source: RNAcentral
GCUUGUCUCAAAGAUUAAGCCAUGCAUGUCUAAGUAUAAACAACUUUAUACUGUAAAACUGCGAACGGCUCAUUAUAUCAGCAAUAAUUUAUUUGAUGGUUUCUUACCCCAUGGAUAACUGUGGUAAUUCUAGAGCUAAUACAUGCGUAAAGUCCCGACUCUUUCUGGGGAGGGAUGUAUUUAUUAGAUACAAAACCAACCCGGGCAACCGGUCCUUUGGUGAUUCAUGAUAACUUUGCGAAUCGCAUAGCUUUAAUGCUGGCGAUGGGUCAUUCAAAUUUCUGCCCUAUCAACUUUCGACGGUAGGAUAGAGGCCUACUGUGGUGAUAACGGGUAACGAAGAAUAAGGGUUCGAUUUCGGAGAGGGAGCCUGAGAAACGGCUACCACAUCCAAGGAAGGCAGCAGG